CAAACUUUGAGCCCAAGAAGGUUUAUGCUGAACAUAUGCUGUUCAAAUGGUGUGAAAUACUGAGUGAAGCAUGCUCAUCUUUCACUAACUGGAGUAAAGGCUUUUUACUUUGCUGUAUCUCUGCCCCCUGCGCCCUGGAGAAGUCAUGGAGUUCCUUGGCUGCCCUGAAAUCAGCAGCUCCAAAGAGACAACCUCAAAAUAUUCUGAGAAUCUGCCUUGGGGGAAGGAACUCUCCAAUCCUCCUAUUAAGAUACCACCACAGCACCUCAUUUUAGUGAGAGUCAUUGUGGAAAACAGGGCAGUUGUUUUAUAGUCCUGUCUGGAUGGGGAAGCCUUGGAGGAAAACUGUUUCACCAAAGGUCACUCAAGACGUGUAAAAUAUAUUCUGCCUCCAAAAAUAAACAAGAUAGUGCCCAGGAGUGGGACCAGUCACGGUGGAAGAUUUCCCACAAGGGAGAUUUCUGUAGAUCAGCUGGGAAAUCACUGGAUGCCCUCAGGACUGG
Melospiza melodia melodia is the source of this 503-nucleotide long non-coding RNA. RefSeq lists it as uncharacterized. The transcript has 5 exons. The record is from RefSeq and is a predicted model, not a curated record. Lineage: Eukaryota; Metazoa; Chordata; Aves; Passeriformes; Passerellidae.